GAGGAAUAUUGGUCAAUGGGCGAGAGCCUGAACCAGCCAAGUAGCGUGCAGGACGACGGCCCUAUGGGUUGUAAACUGCUUUUGUAUGGGGAUAAAGUCAAUCACGUGUGAUUGUUUGCAGGUACCAUACGAAUAAGGACCGGCUAAUUCCGUGCCAGCAGCCGCGGUAAUACGGAAGGUCCGGGCGUUAUCCGGAUUUAUUGGGUUUAAAGGGAGCGUAGGCUGGAGAUUAAGUGUGUUGUGAAAUGUAGACGCUCAACGUCUGAAUUGCAGCGCAUACUGGUUUCCUUGAGUACGCACAACGUUGGCGGAAUUCGUCGUGUAGCGGUGAAAUGCUUAGAUAUGACGAAGAACUCCGAUUGCGAAGGCAGCUGACGGGAGCGCAACUGACGCUUAAGCUCGAAGGUGCGGGUAUCAAACAGGAUUAGAUACCCUGGUAGUCCGCACAGUAAACGAUGGAUGCCCGCUGUUGGUACCUGGUAUCAGCGGCUAAGCGAAAGCAUUAAGCAUCCCACCUGGGGAGUACGCCGGCAACGGUG
Molecule: ribosomal RNA, 539 nt
Filed under: uncultured bacterium
Lineage: Bacteria
Description: bacterial SSU rRNA
Rfam family: Bacterial small subunit ribosomal RNA
Source: RNAcentral